RNAcentral lists this ribosomal RNA (666 nucleotides) under uncultured bacterium. Its description in RNAcentral is "bacterial SSU rRNA". It matches the Rfam family "Bacterial small subunit ribosomal RNA", at positions 57 to 767 of the family's 1533-position model. The record is from RNAcentral.
GNNAGUCGAGCGCUUCCCUUCGGGGAGGAGCGGCGGACGGGUUAGUAACGCGUGGGAACAUACCCUUUUCUGCGGAAUAGCCUCGGGAAACUGAGAGUAAUACCGUAUACGCCCUUCGGGGGAAAGAUUUAUCGGUGAAGGAUUGGCCCGCGUUAGAUUAGAUAGUUGGUGGGGUAAUGGCCUACCAAGUCUACGAUCUAUAGCUGGUUUGAGAGGAUGAUCAGCAACACUGGGACUGAGACACGGCCCAGACUCCUACGGGAGGCUGCAGUGGGGAAUCUUAGACAAUGGGCGAAAGCCUGAUCUAGCGAUGCCGCGUGAGUGAAGAAGGCCCUAGGGUCGUAAAGCUCUUUCGCCAAGGAUGAUAAUGACAGUACUUGGUAAAGAAGUCCCGGCUAACUCCGUGCCAGCAGCCGCGGUAAUACGGAGGGGACUAGCGUUGUUCGGAAUUACUGGGCGUAAAGCGCGCGUAGGCGGAUCAGAAAGUAAGGGGUGAAAUCCCAGGGCUUAACCCUGGAACUGCCUCUUAAACUCCUGGUCUUGAGUUCGAGAGAGGUGAGUGGAAUUCCAAGUGUAGAGGUGAAAUUCGUAGAUAUUUGGAGGAACACCAGUGGCGAAGGCGGCUCACUGGCUCGAUACUGACGCUGAGGUGCGAAAGCGUGGGGA